UACGGAGGGGGCUAGCGUUGUUCGGAAUCAUUGGGCGUAAAGGGCGCGUAGGCGGCCGACCAAGUCGGAUGUGAAAUCCCUCGGCUCAACCGAGGAACUGCACUCGAUACUGGUUGGCUAGAGUCCGGGAGGGGAUGGUGGAAUUCCCAGUGUAGCGGUGAGAUGCGUAGAUAUUGGGAAGAACACCGGUGGCGAAGGCGGCCAUCUGGACCGGUACUGACGCUGAGGCGCGAAAGCCAGGGGAGCGAAUGGG
Molecule: ribosomal RNA, 253 nt
Filed under: uncultured bacterium
Lineage: Bacteria
Description: partial 16S ribosomal RNA
Rfam family: Bacterial small subunit ribosomal RNA
Source: RNAcentral